AUUGAACGCUGGCGGCAGGCCUAACACAUGCAAGUCGAACGGUAACAGGAAGAAGCUUGCUUCUUUGCUGACGAGUGGCGGACGGGUGAGUAAUGUCUGGGAAACUGCCUGAUGGAGGGGGAUAACUACUGGAAACGGUAGCUAAUACCGCAUAACGUCGCAAGGCCAAAGAGGGGGACCUUCGGGCCUCUUGCCAUCGGAUGUGCCCAGAUGGGAUUAGCUAGUUGGUGGGGUAACGGCUCACCAAGGCGACGAUCCCUAGCUGGUCUGAGGGGAUGGCCAGCCACACUGGAACUGAGACACGGUCCAGACUCCUACGGGAGGCAGCAGUGGGGAAUGUUGCACAAUGGGCGCAAGCCUGAUGCAGCCAUGCCGCGUGUAUGAAGAAGGCCUUCGGGUUGUAAAGUACUUUCAGCGGGGAGGAAGGGAGUAAAGUUAAUACCUUUGCUCAUUGACGUUACCCGCAGAAGAAGCACCGGCUAACUCCGUGCCAGCAGCCGCGGUAA
RNAcentral lists this ribosomal RNA (506 nucleotides) under uncultured bacterium. Its description in RNAcentral is "partial 16S ribosomal RNA". It matches the Rfam family "Bacterial small subunit ribosomal RNA", at positions 30 to 523 of the family's 1533-position model. The record is from RNAcentral.